Molecule: long non-coding RNA, 3266 nt
Organism: Heterocephalus glaber (naked mole-rat)
Lineage: Eukaryota; Metazoa; Chordata; Mammalia; Rodentia; Bathyergidae
Source: RefSeq, a predicted model, not a curated record
GCUCAGGUUCACGGGCACCGUCUUCAGCACCUGCACGCGGCUCUCCACGCCCGCGCCGCCCGCGGGCUCCCCGGCGCCCACGCAGCCCCUGCGGGAGACACGUUAGGGACACGGUGGCCGUCGUGCAGGCCCGCGCCGCAGAGCCCCGCGUGCAGAGGGAGCGCGUGGCCUCCUGUCAGGAGCCCAAAGGGUAAGAAAAUAAAGGACCAGAGGAAACGCAGGGCCUGAUUGCAGUGACAGAGCCAUGGGAUUGAUGAGAAAAAUUAAUCCCAGCACUGGGCCCCCUGCCAGGCCAUUGCCUACAAUUCCUGGGACUUUAAGACUCCAUGGCUGAGCAUCAUCUGAGGAGACUGCCCAUGACCCUUGCUGCACAACCAAAAAAUACAACUUACCAUCAUUGGUGAGACUCUCAGGACAGAAGAAGCAAAGCUCUGUGACCUCAUCUCCUCCCAAGAACAAAACUUAAGAGUUUCAUACUGCUGUUCUCACAAACCAUCCAAAGGGAGGUAUCCUCGAAGCCUGGCCUAUUCCUCUCUGGGCAGCUUACCUCUUAUCCUGGUCUUCUGGGCUCUCACUUGCUUUGCUUACAGACAGCAGCCUCUUGUCUCGAGGAACCUGGAAACAUUACCAGUCAUCAGUGGGAUGCAGACACAGGCAACAGCAAGCACACGAUGAGCUAGAUGCCUGCAUAAGCAAGGAAAUGAAAAUGGAAGGAUCUCCAGGAAGAGGGGCGAGUUUGUGGUUGUCGGGAGAUGGUGAAAAUUGAGUACCCUGAGUGAGGAUGACAUUGCAGCCAGAGACUAAGGCUGGCGACAAACGUACAAGAGGUCACAAAGAAGCACAACCGAGCUGCUGAAGCCACAAUGCUGUAUGUCCUCACCUUGGGAGCAGAUGGAGAAGGAGGAACAGUGCACAUGGGGUGGACCUGAACGUGGGUGCCUUUGAGCAGACAGCAUCACGGAGUGACAGUGAGUGUCCUUUAAAGGAAGAGGGGCAGAUCCUCCUCUCCGAUGACUCCAGGUGCGACAGGGGCAGGAAACUGGGCAGGGAGCAGCACUGCCAGCAGCAGGGAAACAAACAGCCAGCAGACCCGCACCACCCUUCAACCCUUGCCUCACAGCUCGUGGGCUUGGCAGCUCAUGUUUUCCUGAGGCACUUUCACCGCCGUCUUAACCAUCAUGCUUCAUCAUACCUGAGCCCUUGCUGAGAGCUGCUGCCUGAGACAGGGACCUACAGGGGGGCUUCUGACCCCAUCCAGUGACCCAGCUGCAUCGUGGGUCCUUACUGGGCAGAGUUCCCAGAUACACCAGUAGGCGGGUGUGGAUUGGUUGGUUUGGUUGGAUUUUUUACUUUGUUUUUAAUUGUUUGCUAAAGCUUUGGAUCUUCCUUUUGAGAUGAAAACACACUUAUGAGAAGAUCCCUCUACAGGACUCUUGGCGCAGUUCCUCUGGCUUCCACUUACCUGAAUGCAGAUGCAAACAGAGGCUGCUGGACAGGAGGGUGACAGAGAAGGUAGCCAAGAGCCAAGGCCUGGCCCUGACUGCCUGGGUUCGACUUUAGCACUGCACUAACUCACUCCCUCACACUUUCCUCCUCUGUAACCCAGGCUUAGUGAUAGCCCAGAGUUGAAUUUUAAAGCACUUGGAAUAUCUAGCUCUUUAUGAGUUGAAAAAUAAAUCAAUUGUAAGGUUUUUGUUCAUAUGUCAAUUUUGAGAGUCUGCAGUGUACCAGGCAUUGCUAAGUACCAGGCAGAAAUGAGGUGAAUAAAACACCAUCCCUGUUGUGUAUUGAAGAUGACAGUUAAUAUAAAGUUUCAAUAUCCAGUACAUCAGUGUUCAUUACAGCCUUAUUCACAGUAGCCCAAAGGAGGGAAUAACCCAGGUGUCCACCAACCAAUGAAUGGAUAAGUGACAUGUUGUUUAUCCACCCAAGGAAACAUUAUUUAGUCUUAAAAAGGAAUGAAAUGCUGACAUAUGCCUUAUUAUGGAUAAACCUCGAAGACAAAAACAUAGAUUAAAAUAAGCCAGAUACAAAAGGAUAAGUAUAUACCCAGAAUGUCAGAGAGCACCAGAAGGUAGAACAGAGACGGGAAAUUAGUGCCGGAUGGGUGCAGAGUCUCAGUUUGGGAGGAUGAGAGAGUCCUGGAGGUGGUUGGUAGUGCUGUUUGCGCAGCAGGGUGAGUGAAUGUGCACUUAGUGCCACUGAACUGUGCACUUAGAAGUGGCUGAACUGUGCACUUAGAAGUGGCUGAACAGAGGGCCAGGAACGUAGCUCAGUGGUUCCAACGCCUGCCUCAUAAGCACAAGAUCCCAAGUUCGAUCCUCAAUACCAAAAAAAAGUGGCUGAAGUGAUACAUUUGUGUUAUGUGCAUUUUAAAAGCGAUGAGGAGAAAGUAGUGUUUACACACAAGCCUCCAUUCCCAGCUCUGCCCCUCUGCGCCCUGCAGUUUACCAGGCAGCCUGCUCAGCCAGCCUGGACCACCCUGGAACCAGCCUUGCUGCUAGCUUACUCCUAAAUCAGUUACUCCUAAUAGUGUCACAGAAACUCGAUCCUCAGUGAUGGGAGGUCAGGCUGAGGUAGGAUGCCCAGGCUCUGGGGACCCUAAAGGAUGGCGCUUCAGAGGAGCUGAGCCGGGGGCAGGAGUUUGUCAGCUGGAUGAGGAAGGCUUUAUAACCAGAGGGACUGCUUAUUUUAAAAAUGAGGGCAUGACAGAAUAGGGAAGUCAUUGCUGGGGGAGUGAGAUUUGGCCUCAGGGACAGUAUUGCGCCUCUCUGUUCCCUUCUGUGCCCCGCUGAUGGCACAGCUGCUUUCUCCUUCACUGUCAAGCAUCUCUCCCCUUGCAACCAGGGGACCAGCCAGGUCCCCUGGGUCUCCAGGCUCAGCCUCCAGAGGCUCUUGCUGCUGUGAGUCACCUGAGUUGUUGCCCGCAUCCUUCCUUCAGUCCACGCCAAUCCAUUUUUGGAUGCCUGAGUGGUCUUGAAAUGCACCUCCUCCCAUGGACCCAGAAGCCACACGUCCUGUAACCAAGCAUUGCUCCUUUUAACAGAGGAUCCGCCCUCAACACCCUCUCUGUCUGGGCUUCAAGCCUGCCUCCUGUGCCUUUUCGGUGCUUGCCAGGACCAUCUCAAGGCCCAUUUAAAUUCCUGGAUGUACCAUGUACAGGAGCAAAUUCCCUAUGCUGAGUGUUAUCAUUAUGUAUGCCGAAAAUGUACCAAUAAAUGUUUUGCUAUUAAAAAAAUAAUAAAUUUCUGUGUCCAUGAAAAACC